GCAUAUCAAUAAGCGGAGGAAAAGAAACCAACAGGGAUUGCCCUAGUAACGGCGAGUGAAGCGGCAACAGCUCAAAUUUGAAAUCUGGCCUCACGGUCCGAAUUGUAAUUUGUAGAGGAUGUUUCUGGCGACGUGUCUUCCGAGUUCCCUGGAACGGGACGCCAUAGAGGGUGAGAGCCCCGUCCGGUCGUACGCCUAGCCUCUGUGAAACUCCUUCGACGAGUCGAGUAGUUUGGGAAUGCUGCUCUAAAUGGGAGGUAUACGUCUUCUAAAGCUAAAUACCGGCCAGAGACCGAUAGCGCACAAGUAGAGUGAUCGAAAGAUGAAAAGCACUUUGAAAAGAGGGUUAAAUAGUACGUGAAAUUGCUGAAAGGGAAGCGCUUAUGACCAGACUUGGGCUCGGUGAAUCAUCCGGCGUUCUCGCCGGUGCACUUUGCCGUCCCAGGCCAGCAUCAGUUCGCGCCGGGGGAUAAAGGUUUCGGGAAUGUAGCUCCCUCGGGAGUGUUAUAGCCCGUUGCGUAAUACCCUGGCGUGGACUGAGGUCCGCGCUCUGCAAGGAUGCUGGCGUAAUGGUCAUCAGUGACCCGUCUUGAAACACGGACC
Molecule: ribosomal RNA, 603 nt
Filed under: Acremonium sp. JCM 28389
Lineage: Eukaryota; Fungi; Ascomycota; Sordariomycetes; Hypocreales; Bionectriaceae
Description: eukaryotic LSU rRNA
Rfam family: Eukaryotic large subunit ribosomal RNA
Source: RNAcentral